Molecule: ribosomal RNA, 2925 nt
Filed under: Escherichia coli
Lineage: Bacteria; Pseudomonadati; Pseudomonadota; Gammaproteobacteria; Enterobacterales; Enterobacteriaceae
Description: partial 23S ribosomal RNA
Rfam family: Bacterial large subunit ribosomal RNA
Source: RNAcentral
GGGUUGUGAGGUUAAGCGACUAAGCGUACACGGUGGAUGCCCUGGCAGUCAGAGGCGAUGAAGGACGUGCUAAUCUGCGAUAAGCGUCGGUAAGGUGAUAUGAACCGUUAUAACCGGCGAUUUCCGAAUGGGGAAACCCAGUGUGUUUCGACACACUAUCAUUAACUGAAUCCAUAGGUUAAUGAGGCGAACCGGGGGAACUGAAACAUCUAAGUACCCCGAGGAAAAGAAAUCAACCGAGAUUCCCCCAGUAGCGGCGAGCGAACGGGGAGCAGCCCAGAGCCUGAAUCAGUGUGUGUGUUAGUGGAAGCGUCUGGAAAGGCGCGCGAUACAGGGUGACAGCCCCGUACACAAAAAUGCACAUGCUGUGAGCUCGAUGAGUAGGGCGGGACACGUGGUAUCCUGUCUGAAUAUGGGGGGACCAUCCUCCAAGGCUAAAUACUCCUGACUGACCGAUAGUGAACCAGUACCGUGAGGGAAAGGCGAAAAGAACCCCGGCGAGGGGAGUGAAAAAGAACCUGAAACCGUGUACGUACAAGCAGUGGGAGCACGCUUAGGCGUGUGACUGCGUACCUUUUGUAUAAUGGGUCAGCGACUUAUAUUCUGUAGCAAGGUUAACCGAAUAGGGGAGCCGAAGGGAAACCGAGUCUUAACUGGGCGUUAAGUUGCAGGGUAUAGACCCGAAACCCGGUGAUCUAGCCAUGGGCAGGUUGAAGGUUGGGUAACACUAACUGGAGGACCGAACCGACUAAUGUUGAAAAAUUAGCGGAUGACUUGUGGCUGGGGGUGAAAGGCCAAUCAAACCGGGAGAUAGCUGGUUCUCCCCGAAAGCUAUUUAGGUAGCGCCUCGUGAAUUCAUCUCCGGGGGUAGAGCACUGUUUCGGCAAGGGGGUCAUCCCGACUUACCAACCCGAUGCAAACUGCGAAUACCGGAGAAUGUUAUCACGGGAGACACACGGCGGGUGCUAACGUCCGUCGUGAAGAGGGAAACAACCCAGACCGCCAGCUAAGGUCCCAAAGUCAUGGUUAAGUGGGAAACGAUGUGGGAAGGCCCAGACAGCCAGGAUGUUGGCUUAGAAGCAGCCAUCAUUUAAAGAAAGCGUAAUAGCUCACUGGUCGAGUCGGCCUGCGCGGAAGAUGUAACGGGGCUAAACCAUGCACCGAAGCUGCGGCAGCGACGCUUAUGCGUUGUUGGGUAGGGGAGCGUUCUGUAAGCCUGCGAAGGUGUGCUGUGAGGCAUGCUGGAGGUAUCAGAAGUGCGAAUGCUGACAUAAGUAACGAUAAAGCGGGUGAAAAGCCCGCUCGCCGGAAGACCAAGGGUUCCUGUCCAACGUUAAUCGGGGCAGGGUGAGUCGACCCCUAAGGCGAGGCCGAAAGGCGUAGUCGAUGGGAAACAGGUUAAUAUUCCUGUACUUGGUGUUACUGCGAAGGGGGGACGGAGAAGGCUAUGUUGGCCGGGCGACGGUUGUCCCGGUUUAAGCGUGUAGGCUGGUUUUCCAGGCAAAUCCGGAAAACUAAGGCUGAGGCGUGAUGACGAGGCACUACGGUGCUGAAGCAACAAAUGCCCUGCUUCCAGGAAAAGCCUCUAAGCAUCAGGUAACAUCAAAUCGUACCCCAAACCGACACAGGUGGUCAGGUAGAGAAUACCAAGGCGCUUGAGAGAACUCGGGUGAAGGAACUAGGCAAAAUGGUGCCGUAACUUCGGGAGAAGGCACGCUGAUAUGUAGGUGAAGUCCCUCGCGGAUGGAGCUGAAAUCAGUCGAAGAUACCAGCUGGCUGCAACUGUUUAUUAAAAACACAGCACUGUGCAAACACGAAAGUGGACGUAUACGGUGUGACGCCUGCCCGGUGCCGGAAGGUUAAUUGAUGGGGUCAGCGCAAGCGAAGCUCUUGAUCGAAGCCCCGGUAAACGGCGGCCGUAACUAUAACGGUCCUAAGGUAGCGAAAUUCCUUGUCGGGUAAGUUCCGACCUGCACGAAUGGCGUAAUGAUGGCCAGGCUGUCUCCACCCGAGACUCAGUGAAAUUGAACUCGCUGUGAAGAUGCAGUGUACCCGCGGCAAGACGGAAAGACCCCGUGAACCUUUACUAUAGCUUGACACUGAACAUUGAGCCUUGAUGUGUAGGAUAGGUGGGAGGCUUUGAAGUGUGGACGCCAGUCUGCAUGGAGCCGACCUUGAAAUACCACCCUUUAAUGUUUGAUGUUCUAACGUUGACCCGUAAUCCGGGUUGCGGACAGUGUCUGGUGGGUAGUUUGACUGGGGCGGUCUCCUCCUAAAGAGUAACGGAGGAGCACGAAGGUUGGCUAAUCCUGGUCGGACAUCAGGAGGUUAGUGCAAUGGCAUAAGCCAGCUUGACUGCGAGCGUGACGGCGCGAGCAGGUGCGAAAGCAGGUCAUAGUGAUCCGGUGGUUCUGAAUGGAAGGGCCAUCGCUCAACGGAUAAAAGGUACUCCGGGGAUAACAGGCUGAUACCGCCCAAGAGUUCAUAUCGACGGCGGUGUUUGGCACCUCGAUGUCGGCUCAUCACAUCCUGGGGCUGAAGUAGGUCCCAAGGGUAUGGCUGUUCGCCAUUUAAAGUGGUACGCGAGCUGGGUUUAGAACGUCGUGAGACAGUUCGGUCCCUAUCUGCCGUGGGCGCUGGAGAAUUGAGGGGGGCUGCUCCUAGUACGAGAGGACCGGAGUGGACGCAUCACUGGUGUUCGGGUUGUCAUGCCAAUGGCACUGCCCGGUAGCUAAAUGCGGAAGAGAUAAGUGCUGAAAGCAUCUAAGCACGAAACUUGCCCCGAGAUGAGUUCUCCCUGACUCCUUGAGAGUCCUGAAGGAACGUUGAAGACGACGACGUUGAUAGGCCGGAUGUGUAAGCGCAGCGAUGCGUUGAGCUAACCGGUACUAAUGAACCGUGAGGCUUAACCUUACAACGCCGAAG